This 37-nucleotide ribosomal RNA is filed under the name Gammarus pulex. Its description in RNAcentral is "partial 12S ribosomal RNA". Lineage: Eukaryota; Metazoa; Arthropoda; Malacostraca; Amphipoda; Gammaridae. The record is from RNAcentral.
UCGAAACAAAGUAGAGGUACCUGAAAGUGUUUCUAAG